RNAcentral lists this long non-coding RNA (1207 nucleotides) under Chrysemys picta bellii (western painted turtle). Its description in RNAcentral is "lncRNA (ENSCPBG00000010379.1)". Lineage: Eukaryota; Metazoa; Chordata; Testudines; Emydidae. The record is from RNAcentral.
UAUUCAGAAAAAUUACACACCCAUGGAAUUCUGGAAAGCUAUGGACUCUGAUUACUGUAUCAAUCAAAAGCAGCAGCACUGAAAAUCUCACAAGAAGGGCAUUUACUUUGGACACUGACAGGUUCUAAGACCCUAGAAAGAGAAAUAGAGAUUUAUCCUAACUCUCCUUUAUAGUAGUUCCUGGGACCUUGCAAUGGAAAUGAGAUUAUUUCUGCUAAUUCUCCAGAGCAGGUCCACAACAGCUCUUGGAUAUGAUCCAUUCCACCUGGUAUCACAGUCUGAGCCAUGCUGGAGAACAUGAGAGAAAGAAGGAGGUGCAUCUUUCCAGUGACAGUGUCUGAGGAGUCUCGGAGCAGACAUAAUGACUCCAGUGACUCUGUACCACCCAAGAAUCCCACUCUGCUGUGGGAGUUCUUCCCUGGCUGGAUUUACAAGGCCCUGAGCCAGAUAUAAGCAGCUCCCACAGACAAGCAAACUGAGGUACACAGCUAUCAAAUGUAAGCAGUAUUGUGGUUGCCCACUUUAGUUCUCUCUUCUUCCCUGUCAGAAAAUUAAGAACUGCAAAAUGUUAAGGACCCUCAACACCCAGGUGUAAGAAGGUUUGGUCCCUAAAAUUUUAAUUUGCUAAUGUAACAUGUUGCAGUGUGAAAUAUCACAGAAGUUCCAGAGGGAACACAAAGUUUUGAAUCUUAUUAGUCUUUGUAUUACAUUAGUGCUCAAAUCAGAAUUGUGGUCCCAUUGUGCCAUGAGUUGUGUAAACAUAAAUGAAGCAUUAUCCCUGCUCUGAAUAAUUUACUCUCUAAAUAGAAAGGACAGAAACAGAAAAACUCUUCCACUGACUUUGCCUCAAGGAAUUUUUUCACAACCCACAACCACCACAUCCCCAUCAACAAUCAUAAAAAAAAUAGAAUCAGCUGACUGGAUGCCCCCAGCAGACAAAACCCCACACUGGAUCAGUACAUCAAUUGCUUCAGGAAAAUAAUCAACUGUGAAAGCCUCAACAAAUGUUACAUCCAUAACAAUCUCUCCACCCCCGAGAGGACAACUAUUCAGUACUAAAAAAAUCCAGUCAUCAGAGAGUGAUCAAAAUAGCAGACAAAGGGGAUGCCAUCAUAGUAGUUAAUCAUGAUGACUACAACAACAAAGCCAACAGACAACUCUCGAACACAAGCUACUACAGUAAAAGCUUUCUUAUCUGGCAUGUUGU